GCAUAAUUUUUUGUGGUGCAUUUACUUGAUUGGUGCUUGGGGAUGUUUGAGGCAGAUUUGUUUCCGUCGUUUUGAGGCCAGCUUGCUGGUACCCAAACGGUGUUAGCAUUUUUUGUCUUGGRCAUUUGAGUAUGGCUCACGUGUAUUUAUUGGACAGAUCUGAGUGUAAGUUACGGUCGCAUGCGACACGUGCUUUUCAAUUAGUUCGGUCCAGUUAAUGCUCUCGUACUCGUUCCCCAUGUAAAAGCCGGUCAUCUAUCCGACCCGUCUUGAAACACGGACCAAGGAGUUUAUCGUGUGCGCAAGUUUUUGGGUGUUAAAAACUUAAAAGCGAAAUGAAAGUAAAUGACUCUUUAGAGUCUGAUGUGCGAUCUUGUAAAAAAGUGUAGCAUGGCCCCAUUCUAACUGUUUACAGUAGGGUGGCGGAAGAGCGUACGCGGUGAGACCCGAAAGAUGGUGAACUAUUCCUGAGCAGGACGAAGCCAGAGGAAACUCUGGUGGAAGUCCGAAGCGGUUCUGACGUGCAAAUCGAUCGUCUGACUUGGGUAUAGGGGCGAAAGACUAAUCGAACCAUCUAGUAG
This 581-nucleotide ribosomal RNA is filed under the name Meloidogyne sp. Erfdeel. RNAcentral describes it as "eukaryotic LSU rRNA". It matches the Rfam family "Eukaryotic large subunit ribosomal RNA", at positions 460 to 950 of the family's 3401-position model. Lineage: Eukaryota; Metazoa; Nematoda; Chromadorea; Rhabditida; Meloidogynidae. The record is from RNAcentral.